Long non-coding RNA from Salarias fasciatus (jewelled blenny), 1092 nucleotides. RefSeq lists it as uncharacterized. The record is from RefSeq and is a predicted model, not a curated record. NCBI's taxonomy places the organism in Eukaryota, Metazoa, Chordata, Actinopteri, Blenniiformes, Blenniidae. The transcript has 3 exons.
CAUACACUUUGCUCCUUAUCUGUUUCUGAGACGUCUUACUGUCUGCAGUUUCUCCUCCUCCCCUCUGCAUUUAUGGAAAUCUGAAAACCAAAAGUAAACUUCACUCGUUUUCUGUCCAGCGGACGUUUGAGUCUCUCUUUGGGUCGCAUACGAUACGUGAGCAGACAUGUCGGCUGCACAGCCGCUCCUGGACGCUCUGGACGAGCUGUCGAGCAAAGACAUGGGGAGGUUCCAGUUUUUCCUCAACAUGCAGAUGGUGCCUGGCUGCAAACCAAUUUCCAAGCAGCGCCAGGAGGGCCAGCCCAGGGAUGUGAUUGUCGCUGUGAUGAUUGACCAGUACGGCGACGACUCGGCCGUGGAAGUGGCCAGUGCGAUUCUGGAGAGGAUUGGCUCCAACAACGUCAUGCGCAAACUGAACAGCGAUUAUGAGAAGGCGAAACAAUAGGGUCGAUCUGGAGCCCCCCUGCUCCUCCUCCACCUCCUCCUGCUCCAACCACAAUGUCGGCUCAACAAGGAAGUGUGAUCAUCAUGGAAAAACUCAUUUUUGCACUUCUUAAAUCCUUCAAUUAGCAUUUUUAAAUGGUUGACAGGUCAAAGGAAGGCUGUUAUGGAAAUUUCCACAUUUUCUGGUCACUUCAGUCAAAAGAAUAAUUGAAUAACGUCACACAACUGAUAAUACUCAUCCCUGUCUGUCAAACAUGGUAAUAAUAGAAAUGUUCAUGCUCUUGUCAUACAGUGACAUCUGGUGGCCAUCGAUGGUAUGUACCGAUACGUUUGAUAUAUGAGUUGCUUCUUAAUAUUUCACAUGACCAGCCAAAAAACUGAAAAGGAGCUACUUUAAUUCCGGGAAUUACAAUAGUUUGAUAUUAUAAGCAGGAAUUUGUUUUGUUUUGUUUUUAAAUGUGCAGAAAUAACUAUAUCACAAACGUUCCUGUCCACUCUGUCUACACAAAACUGAGACUAGAUGAUCACACAGUCCGUCAUGGACGCAUCGACACCGACAGCAUUUACAAUUCAGAUCCCCCACAACAUACAAAUGGCCAAAAACCUGAAAUCUUUUUGUACUUUUACAAUAAACGGAGGUGAAACAAG